RNAcentral lists this ribosomal RNA (253 nucleotides) under uncultured bacterium. Its description in RNAcentral is "partial 16S ribosomal RNA". It matches the Rfam family "Bacterial small subunit ribosomal RNA", at positions 524 to 776 of the family's 1533-position model. The record is from RNAcentral.
AACGGAGGGUGCGAGCGUUAUUCGGAAUUACUGGGCGUAAAGCGCGUGCAGGCGGGAGAGUGGGUCUGAUGUGAAAGCCCGGGGCUUAACCCCGGAAGAGCAUUGGAAACUGCUUUUCUUGAGUUUCGGAGAGGAAGGGGGAAUUCCCGGUGUAGAGGUGAAAUUCGUAGAGAUCGGGAGGAACACCAGUGGCGAAGGCGCCCGUCUGGACGACAACUGACGCUGAGACGCGAAAGCGUGGGGAGCAAACAGG